GACGAACGCUGGCGGCGUGCUUAACACAUGCAAGUCGAACGGAAAGGCCCUGCUUUUGUGGGGUGCUCGAGUGGCGAACGGGUGAGUAACACGUGAGUAACCUGCCCUUGACUUUGGGAUAACUUCAGGAAACUGGGGCUAAUACCGGAUAGGAGCUCCUGCUGCAUGGUGGGGGUUGGAAAGUUUCGGCGGUUGGGGAUGGACUCGCGGCUUAUCAGCUUGUUGGUGGGGUAGUGGCUUACCAAGGCUUUGACGGGUAGCCGGCCUGAGAGGGUGACCGGCCACAUUGGGACUGAGAUACGGCCCAGACUCCUACGGGAGGCAGCAGUGGGGAAUAUUGCACAAUGGGCGGAAGCCUGAUGCAGCAACGCCGCGUGCGGGAUGACGGCCUUCGGGUUGUAAACCGCUUUCGCCUGUGACGAAGCGUGAGUGACGGUAAUGGGUAAAGAAGCACCGGCUAACUACGUGCCAGCAGCCGCGGUGAUACGUAGGGUGCGAGCGUUGUCCGGAUUUAUUGGGCGUAAAGGGCUCGUAGGUGGUUGAUCGCGUCGGAAGUGUAAUCUUGGGGCUUAACCCUGAGCGUGCUUUCGAUACGGGUUGACUUGAGGAAGGUAGGGGAGAAUGGAAUUCCUGGUGGAGCGGUGGAAUGCGCAGAUAUCAGGAGGAACACCAGUGGCGAAGGCGGUUCUCUGGGCCUUUCCUGACGCUGAGGAGCGAAAGCGUGGGGAGCGAACAGGCUUAGAUACCCUGGUAGUCCACGCUGUAAACGGUGGGUACUAGGUGUGGGGUCCAUUCCACGGGUUCCGUGCCGUAGCUAACGCUUUAAGUACCCCGCCUGGGGAGUACGGCCGCAAGGCUAAAACUCAAAGGAAUUGACGGGGCCCCGCACAAGCGGCGGAGCAUGCGGAUUAAUUCGAUGCAACGCGUAGAACCUUACCUGGGUUUGACAUGGGUCGGGAGUGCUCAGAGAUGGGUGUGCCUCUUUUGGGGUCGGUUCACAGGUGGUGCAUGGCUGUCGUCAGCUCGUGUCGUGAGAUGUUGGGUUAAGUCCCGCAACGAGCGCAACCCUUGUUCACUGUUGCCAGCACGUUAUGGUGGGGACUCAGUAGAGACCGCCGGGGUCAACUCGGAGGAAGGUGGGGAUGACGUCAAGUCAUCAUGCCCCUUAUGUCCAGGGCUUCACGCAUGCUACAAUGGCUGGUACAGAGAGUGGCGAGCCUGUGAGGGUGAGCGAAUCUCGGAAAGUCGGUCUCAGUUCGGAUUGGGGUCUGCAACUCGACCUCAUGAAGUCGGAGUCGCUAGUAAUCGCAGAUCAGCAACGCUGCGGUGAAUACGUUCCCGGGGCU
This 1346-nucleotide ribosomal RNA is filed under the name uncultured bacterium. RNAcentral describes it as "partial 16S ribosomal RNA". It matches the Rfam family "Bacterial small subunit ribosomal RNA", at positions 28 to 1381 of the family's 1533-position model. The record is from RNAcentral.